UCGAAGAAAGAAAAGAAAUUUUUUGGUGAUAACCAAACUGAUGAAACAACAACAUGUAACAAGAAUAAAUUUUAUUCAACAAAGCAGUUGGCUUUGGACAUUUCGAAACCAAUUAAGCUGUUUUAAAUAAGUAUUUACUCAUUUUUUUUUUCAAUUAUGCGUUUGCGAUGAGUAUAUAUCUAUCAAAAAGGUUGCAUUCGUUAAAAGGCAUUUUCUAUAGAUGUUAUCUGGUUUUCGAAGUGCACAAUAUCUGACGUUUCGAAUUAAUCGCAUUGAUUGAAUGUUUUCUCAAUAAAUUAAAGUGUCAUAAAAGAAGGCAUUGUUCAUUUGGAAUGAGUUUUAACGCCAUCUUGAAUGUGUGACAAUCGCCAUCUUGAAAUUAGAUGUUGGUAUAUAAAUAUGUAUAUACCUACACUGCACACCAGUCAAACGAUUUAAUAUCGAUUUGUUAACGGAAUUAACAACUAAUCGAAUUGGAGGAAAAACAGAAAUUUUACUUACUGCUUAUUUUCAUGCCGCCAGGUACAGGAUUGGGUGGUUGCUUAUUACCCUCAGCAAAUGAGGUUGUCCUUGGCCGUCCGCUCAUCUCGCUCGUGGCCACAAUUGGAA
Long non-coding RNA from Bradysia coprophila, 609 nucleotides. The record is from RefSeq and is a predicted model, not a curated record. NCBI's taxonomy places the organism in Eukaryota, Metazoa, Arthropoda, Insecta, Diptera, Sciaridae.